This 311-nucleotide ribosomal RNA is filed under the name uncultured bacterium. Its description in RNAcentral is "bacterial SSU rRNA". It matches the Rfam family "Bacterial small subunit ribosomal RNA", at positions 28 to 334 of the family's 1533-position model. The record is from RNAcentral.
GAUGAACGCUGGCGGCGUGCUUAACACAUGCAAGUCGAACGGGAUCCUUGGCAGCUUGCUGCCGGGGUGAGAGUGGCGAACGGGUGAGUAAUGCGUGACCGACCUGCCCCAUGCACCGGAAUAGCUCCUGGAAACGGGUGGUAAUGCCGGAUGUUCCACAUGAGCGCAUGCGAGUGUGGGAAAGGCUUUUUGCGGCAUGGGAUGGGGUCGCGUCCUAUCAGCUUGUUGGUGGGGUAACGGCCUACCAAGGCGAUGAUACGUAGCCGACCUGAGAGGGUGAUCGGCCACACUGGGACUGAGACACGGCCCAG